GAGGACUUGGCCCCUCAGCCACCUACAGCUCCAACAGCCCGGCCAGCCCCCUCAGCUCUGCCAGCCUCACCAGCCCCCUGAGCCCCUUUUCACUGGUGUCGGGCUCUCAGGGGUCCCCCACCAAGCCUGGCUCCAACGAGGAACCUGGCCCGCCUCGGCCUCCCCUCCCCAAAGCCUACGUCCCCCUGGAGUCUCCUCCAGCCGUCCCUCCACUCCCUAGCGAGAGCCGCUUCUGGCCCUACCCCAGCUCCCCUUCCUGGCACCGCAGUGGCGAGACAGCCAGG
Molecule: long non-coding RNA, 284 nt
Filed under: Homo sapiens (human)
Lineage: Eukaryota; Metazoa; Chordata; Mammalia; Primates; Hominidae
Description: non-protein coding lnc-GOLT1A-1:1
Source: RNAcentral